RNAcentral lists this long non-coding RNA (1161 nucleotides) under Gossypium barbadense (sea-island cotton). RNAcentral's name for it is "long non-coding RNA (GBAR_LNC005968)". The record is from RNAcentral. Lineage: Eukaryota; Viridiplantae; Streptophyta; Magnoliopsida; Malvales; Malvaceae.
GCCACUUUAACAAAAUCAAAAAAAAAAAAACUAAACUAAACCUCUCCUUAUUCAUUCGGCUGAACCAUGAACCUUCUGCCCAGCCACCACACGUUACCGUGACCGGUGAUUGGCGGUGAGCGAAGCCCGUUCUAAACCGAUUAAAGCCACAUAUGCCAAUUUCAACCCCGAAAUCCUCACUUAGACUUCGAUUUAGACGAAGAAGAUGAGGACUCCGAAGGCGAACUCUCAAUGGUAAACCCUCUAUUUUUUUAGAUUCGUCGAAUAGAUUCAAAAUAAAGUAAAAAAAAAACAAGAAUAAGAGCAGAGAAAUAAUCUACGAAUCACCUUUGGUAAACUCUUUUUGAAUUGAUUUCUUUUUUCAUAUAUGCGUCUGUUCUCUCUAUUUUACAUCGUUUCAUUCAGUUUUAUAGCCAAAAUAAAUAAAAUAAAUAAAUAAAAAGAAAUCCAAAUUUCAUUGCUGUCAUUUGUUGCUAUUUGCUGUCCAUUGCUUGUGGUUGUUUUCGUUUGUUAGUCUGUUGCAGGUACAGCUAGAGGGUGGCGCGUGUGGAGGCCAUUAUGGGGGUGAAGCGUGAAGUCACUGGUGGCUGCUUGCGGCCCGAGGGUAGACGGGGCUAGGGUUUGCUUCAAGCAUGGUUUGGGCUUAGGGUUUAUUAUUCUUUUGGGUCUGCUUGUAAAAUUUUGGGCUUAAUUUUAUUAUUGGGUAUUGGGUUUUGUAAUGGGCUAAGGGGUUAUAGACUGUUUUAUUGAUUUUUAUUAUUUUUUGGUUUUUUUGCAUUUAGUUUAUAAGUCUAAAGGCCCGGGUGAAAUGGGCCUAUUACAAAUAUAAAUUAUAAAAAAUUAAAAUUUUAUUCGGCCCUCCCUAAAUAUUUAUUCUGGCUUCGCCCAUGCUUUAUAGAUGGGUAGAUAUGUAGAUGUCCACAUAUAUGAACUCGGGUUUAACAUUUUUAAUUUGAGUCGAGCUAAGGCAAAACUUUAAACUUAUUUUCCAAGCAGGAUUUGAGCCUAAAAUUUUGUAUGGACCCAAUCCAUGAUCAAGUUUAAUGAUUUAUUUUACUAAAUUUGAUUUACUUUAUAUGAAAAGAGAAGACUAAAAUUUAUAAUAUAAGCAUCUAAAUUUUCUUGGAUUCUCAAUUCUCAACAAGUUUAAGAACAUUGGGC